This 1253-nucleotide ribosomal RNA is filed under the name Nocardiopsis alba. RNAcentral's name for it is "bacterial SSU rRNA". It matches the Rfam family "Bacterial small subunit ribosomal RNA", at positions 23 to 1289 of the family's 1533-position model. The record is from RNAcentral. Lineage: Bacteria; Bacillati; Actinomycetota; Actinomycetes; Streptosporangiales; Nocardiopsidaceae.
CUCAGGACGAACGCUGGCGGCGUGCUUAACACAUGCAAGUCGAGCGGUAAGGCCCUUCGGGGUACACGAGCGGCGAACGGGUGAGUAACACGUGAGCAACCUGCCCCUGACUCUGGGAUAAGCGGUGGAAACGCCGUCUAAUACCGGAUACGACCUUCCGCCUCAUGGUGGAGGGUGGAAAGUUUUUUCGGUCAAGGGAUGGGCUCGCGGCCUAUCAGCUUGUUGGUGGGGUAACGGCCUACCAAGGCGAUUACGGGUAGCCGGCCUGAGAGGGCGACCGGCCACACGACUGAGACACGGCCCAGACUCCUGCGGGAGGCAGCAGUGGGGAAUAUUGCGCAAUGGGCGAAAGCCUGACGCAGCGACGCCGCGUGGGGGAUGACGGCCUUCGGGUUGUAAACCUCUUUUACCACCAACGCAGGCUCCGGGUUCUCUCGGGGUUGACGGUAGGUGGGGAAUAAGGACCGGCUAACUACGUGCCAGCAGCCGCGGUAAUACGUAGGGUCCGAGCGUUGUCCGGAAUUAUUGGCGUAAAGAGCUCGUAGGCGGCGUGUCGCGUCUGCUGUGAAAGACCGGGGCUUAACUCCGGUUCUGCAGUGGAUACGGGCAUGCUAGAGGUAGGUAGGGGAGACUGGAAUUCCUGGUGUAGCGGUGAAAUGCGCAGAUAUCAGGAGGAACACCGGUGGCGAAGGCGGGUCUCUGGGCCUUACCUGACGCUGAGGAGCGAAAGCAUGGGGAGCGAACAGGAUUAGAUACCCUGGUAGUCCAGCCGUAAACGUUGGGCGCUAGGUGUGGGGACUUUCCACGGUUUCCGCGCCGUAGCUAACGCAUUAAGCGCCCCGCCUGGGGAGUACGGCCGCAAGGCUAAAACUCAAAGGAAUUGACGGGGGCCCGCACAAGCGGCGGAGCAUGUUGCUUAAUUCGACGCAACGCGAAGAACCUUACCAAGGUUUGACAUCACCGUGGACCUGUAGAGAUACAGGGUCAUUUAGUUGGUGGGUGACAGGUGUGCAUGGCUGUCGUCAGCUCGUGUCGUGAGAUGUUGGGUUAAGUCCCGAACGAGCGCAACCCUUGUUCCAUGUUGCCAGCACGUAAUGGUGGGGACCAUGGGAGACUGCCGGGGUCAACUCGGAGGAAGGUGGGGACGACGUCAGUCAUCAUGCCCCUUAUGUCUUGGGCUGCAAACAUGCUACAAUGGCCGUACAAUGGGCGUGCGAUACCGUAAGGUGGAGCGAAUCCCUUAAAGCCGUCUC